Molecule: non-coding RNA, 46 nt
Organism: Pteropus alecto (black flying fox)
Lineage: Eukaryota; Metazoa; Chordata; Mammalia; Chiroptera; Pteropodidae
Source: Rfam
CGAAAGGCUUUUUAAAAAGCCACCUUCAAGUAUUUAAAAGUUCUGU